RNAcentral lists this ribosomal RNA (253 nucleotides) under uncultured bacterium. Its description in RNAcentral is "partial 16S ribosomal RNA". It matches the Rfam family "Bacterial small subunit ribosomal RNA", at positions 524 to 776 of the family's 1533-position model. The record is from RNAcentral.
UACGUAGGGUGCAAGCGUUAAUCGGAAUUACUGGGCGUAAAGCGUGCGCAGGCGGCUUUGCAAGACAGAUGUGAAAUCCCCGGGCUCAACCUGGGAACUGCAUUUGUGACUGCAUAACGAGAGUGUGGCAGAGGGAGAUGGAAUUCCGCGUGUAGCAGUGAAAUGCGUAGAUAUGCGGAGGAACACCAAUGGCGAAGGCAAUCUCCUGGGCCUGCACUGACGCUCAUGCACGAAAGCGUGGGGAGCAAACAGG